UACAUAGGUCUCAAGCGUCAUCCGGAUUUACUGGGCGUAAAGCGUGCGUAGGCGGUCCGUUAAGUCUCCGGUGAAAUCCCUCGGCUCAACCGAGGAACUGUCGGAGAUACUGGCGGACUAGAGUGUGGUAGAGGCAGAUGGAAUUGAUGGUGUAGCGGUAAAAUGCGUAGAUAUCAUCAAGAACACCCAUGGCGAAGGCAGUCUGCUGGGCCACUACUGACGCUGAGGCACGAAAGCGUGGGGAGCGAACGGG
Molecule: ribosomal RNA, 253 nt
Filed under: uncultured bacterium
Lineage: Bacteria
Description: partial 16S ribosomal RNA
Rfam family: Bacterial small subunit ribosomal RNA
Source: RNAcentral